RNAcentral lists this ribosomal RNA (514 nucleotides) under Onychodactylus fischeri (Fischer's clawed salamander). RNAcentral's name for it is "partial 16S ribosomal RNA". It matches the Rfam family "Bacterial large subunit ribosomal RNA", at positions 1838 to 2621 of the family's 2925-position model. Lineage: Eukaryota; Metazoa; Chordata; Amphibia; Caudata; Hynobiidae. The record is from RNAcentral.
GGAAUGAAGAUAGGGUCCUGCCUGCCCAGUGACAUUAGUUUAACGGCCGCGGUAUUAUGACCGUGCAAAGGUAGCGUAAUCACUUGGUCUUUUAAAUAAAGACCUGUAUGAAUGUUCCGUGCAGAAGCGGAAAUAAAUUUAUAAGACGAGAAGACCCUAUGGAGCUUCAAAUAUAAAUCAAUUGUUUUAAUUAAAAAUCAACCAAAAAUAUAAUAAAACAUAAUGAUUAAAAUUUUAGGUUGGGGCGACCACGGAAAAAAACAAAACUUCCGAGAUGAAAUAUUAUUAAUGAACAACAGUUCUAAAAAAUAAAAUAUUUAACAUAAUUGAUCCAAUAUUUGAUCAACGAACCAAGUUACCCUAGGGAUAACAGCGCAAUCCUUUCUAAGAGUCCUUAUCGACGAAUGGGUUUACGACCUCGAUGUUGGAUCAGGACACCCCAAUGGUGUAGCCGCUAUUAAAGGUUCGUUUGUUCAACGAUUAAAGUCCUACGUGAUCUGAGCCCAAAACCGGA